GGCUUGUCCCCUUCCCCCCCCAGCGACUGUAAGGAUGCGCGAAAUGCCGGCCUGACAGACUGCGGGCGGAGACGAGAGGCGACUGUCCCUUUGGAUCAGCCUUCAGCUGUUGUGCAGGUGCCAGCUGAUGGAAGAAAAUGUUGUUGGGCUGAAGUCCUACCAUGCUCCUCUGAUAAUGUUACGGAGGUGGUCCUGAAGCACUGGGAGAUGAUGCAUUUUACCCAGUUGUCUUUCUCUACUGCCUUUUCCAGCCCUGGCUCUGCAAUAGUUCCAUCCAAAGCUCACCAGUGCAUUUCAAUCACGGUGCUGAAGAAAUCAGAGUGAUGCCUUCAAAGCUGUUAUUUUUAUAGUCAAAUGUUAUCUUCAUGUUA
RNAcentral lists this long non-coding RNA (371 nucleotides) under Columba livia (rock pigeon). RNAcentral's name for it is "partial uncharacterized LOC102092131". The record is from RNAcentral. Lineage: Eukaryota; Metazoa; Chordata; Aves; Columbiformes; Columbidae.